RNAcentral lists this transfer RNA (69 nucleotides) under Hystrix indica. RNAcentral's name for it is "tRNA-Trp". The record is from RNAcentral. Lineage: Eukaryota; Metazoa; Chordata; Mammalia; Rodentia; Hystricidae.
AGGAAAUUAGGUUAAUUAGACCAAGAGCCUUCAAAGCUCUAAGUAAGCACAUCCAAUGCUUAUCUCCUG